GGAAUAUUGGACAAUGGGCGCAAGCCUGAUCCAGCCAUGCCGCGUGCAGGAUGACGGUCCUAUGGAUUGUAAACUGCUUUUGCACAGGAAGAAACAACAUUACGUGUAAUGUCUUGACGGUACUGUGAGAAUAAGGAUCGGCUAACUCCGUGCCAGCAGCCGCGGUAAUACGGAGGAUCCAAGCGUUAUCCGGAAUCAUUGGGUUUAAAGGGUCCGUAGGCGGUCUUAUAAGUCAGUGGUGAAAUCCCCCCGCUCAACGGGGAAAUUGCCAUUGAUACUGCAGGGCUUGAAUUAUUGGGAAGUAACUAGAAUAUGUAGUGUAGCGGUGAAAUGCUUAGAUAUUACAUGGAAUACCAAUUGCGAAGGCAGGUUACUACUAAUUGAUUGACGCUGAUGGACGAAAGCGUGGGUAGCGAACAGGAUUAGAUACCCCGG
Molecule: ribosomal RNA, 435 nt
Filed under: uncultured Flavobacterium sp.
Lineage: Bacteria; Pseudomonadati; Bacteroidota; Flavobacteriia; Flavobacteriales; Flavobacteriaceae
Description: bacterial SSU rRNA
Rfam family: Bacterial small subunit ribosomal RNA
Source: RNAcentral